RNAcentral lists this ribosomal RNA (465 nucleotides) under uncultured bacterium. RNAcentral's name for it is "partial 16S ribosomal RNA". It matches the Rfam family "Bacterial small subunit ribosomal RNA", at positions 28 to 507 of the family's 1533-position model. The record is from RNAcentral.
GACGAACGCUGGCGGCGUGCUUAACACAUGCAAGUCGUACGGUAAGGCCCUUUCGGGGGUCCACGAGUGGCGAACGGGUGCGUAACACGUGAGUAACCUGCCCACAACUUUGGGAUAACGCUAGGAAACUGGUGCUAAUACUGGAUAUGUUCUCCUGCUGCAUGGUGGGGGUUGGAAAGCUCCGGCGGUUGUGGAUGGACUCGCGGCCUAUCAGCUUGUUGGUGGGGUAGUGGCCUACCAAGGCGGCGACGGGUAGCCGGCCUGAGAGGGUGACCGGCCACAUUGGGACUGAGAGACGGCACAGACUCCGACGGGAGGCAGAAGUGGGGAAUAUUGCACAAUGGGCGCAAGCCUGAUGCAGCAACGCCGCGGGCGGGAUGACGGCCUUCGGGUUGUAAACCGCUUUCAGCAGGGACGAAGCUUUUUGUGACGGUACCUGCAGAAGAAGCACCGGCUAACUACGUG